GUCAGUUUUUGUUUGUCUGUGGUGCACUUUGUUUGUUUUAUUCAGUGCUGUUCCCUGUGUUUUGCUAUUAUGUUAGCUAAAUGUUUUACUGCAUUUAGAUCCGAUAUGGUUUUGAUGACAAGGCUCACCACAGUCUAGCUCUGGUGUGUCAGGUGACAUUUGCACGAGGAUCUAUCACUGCAACAUCAACAGUCAGGGUGUGAUCUGUCUGGACAUCCUGAAGGACAACUGGAGUCCGGCGCUCACCAUCUCCAAAGUGCUGCUGUCCAUCUGCUCUCUCCUCACAGACUGUAACCCUGGACCAUAAUGUGACGAACAAAUGAUUGAAUCAGUGUUUGAACCAAUUCGCUGAAACCGUUUGAAGUAAUAAAUCCCUGAAACUCCAGAGGGAGAUUUGCUGAGGUUUAAAUCUGAGACAUUGAUUUCUUUUUUAGUGAUCUCAUCUCUCACUCGCACAUGUCUUGAGUGCAAAAUUUUGAUCACUGUUUCUACCAGAAAGCAUUGCAUUUUAAUACAUGCAGGGGUCUUUGGUUUAUUACUAUAAAGCACUUUAUAAUCUUAAAUAAAAUGUUGCAGCCUCACUGUAAACCCUAACGAGCUGGCAGAACUCAAAUAUAAAAUGAUCAGUAGCAUAACUGCAAGAUUUAGUGACAUUUCAACUUCGUUUUUUUUUUUUUUUUUUGCAUAAACUGAUACACAUUGAUCACACUUGCCUGUAGUGCUAUUUCCCGUCGUGGCUGAACUGCACAAUGAUUAUUUCUGAUUUACGGCUGUAUUUUAUUCCUGCAGUGGUAGUGUUGCCUCUGUCCCUUUGAGGUCUUGUUUAUUAAUUUAGAGCAUUUUUUUUUUGUAACCUUGUGACCCAUCUUCUGUCAUGGUCAUUGUUGUUUAACUUGAUGUACAUUUUAGAAACUCUGUUCUGGUUACUCUAAAACGUUUCUGUUUCUCACGAGAAGGAAAUAAUAAAUGCAUGUCAAGGCUAAUUAUUCCCCCUAUUCAAUAGUUAAUUGCUUUGAGCAUCGGGUUUGCAGUGCUGUUGGUAUUUCUUCAAGCCAAACGACUCGAUAUUCUCUCAGUAGAUGUAUUGACUCUUUUCAGAUCAUGUACUGAUGUAUCUCACAGUGGAAUUGUCUGUUGUAUCUCUGAACAUGAGCUCAGUGCUCAUUUUCACUCCCCUAAUAUGAGCAAGGUCAUCGAGCUGCAGGAGACGCAAGCAAUCAUGCAUUAUUUUGCAUAUUUUAGUCUAAUUGUACCACAGAUUCUCCAUUAUUGCUGCUCUCACUGACGCUAAAUGAUCUAGAUUUAAGCUGUAAUCUGUUUCUCAGACCCUUUCCACAACUAGGGUGUAUGUUUUCCUCUCUCUGACUCUGUAAUAUAUUUUGGGGAGAUGUGGCAUUUUCCUGCUUUGUAUACUGUGGCGCAAAUCAGUAUAUUAAUUUUUUUCCCCCCCAUUUUCGUCAAGAUAUUUUAGUGAGGUUUUGAGAAAUCGAGUGUGUAAUGCAUUAUUGCUGUAAUGACCGACUUUUUUGAUGUCUGUGUCAUGAUGAGGUCCGUGUGAGGCAAAAUGUUGCUGCAAUACUGGCAAGCUAUAAUGAAAGUUUCUGUGUUUGAUUUGUGUUUUGUAGGCUGUUAGAGGGUCAUGAAGUCUGUGCAGUGGGCUUCUGAGUAACUGUUGCUUCUCUGUAGAUGUAGGGAAAACCAAUAAUUUGUACAAACUGCAAACAGAGUGGGAUCUACAGUGUAUAUACAAUAAACUAUCAACUUUCUAACCGAUGGGACCAGAUUGUUUAUUCCCGCUGUAGAAUGGGUCAUUCAAGGAUGACACAAGUUUUUAAUACUAUGGU
Molecule: long non-coding RNA, 1844 nt
Organism: Onychostoma macrolepis
Lineage: Eukaryota; Metazoa; Chordata; Actinopteri; Cypriniformes; Cyprinidae
Exons: 3
Source: RefSeq, a predicted model, not a curated record